RNAcentral lists this transfer RNA (62 nucleotides) under Leptestheria dahalacensis. RNAcentral describes it as "tRNA-Gly". Lineage: Eukaryota; Metazoa; Arthropoda; Branchiopoda; Diplostraca; Leptestheriidae. The record is from RNAcentral.
AUCUCUUUAGUAUAAUGUAUACCUGACUUCCAAUCAGGAGGACCACUAAGAUGGAAGAGAUA